Sorghum bicolor (sorghum) is the source of this 2109-nucleotide long non-coding RNA. RefSeq lists it as uncharacterized. The transcript is spliced from 4 exons. The record is from RefSeq and is a predicted model, not a curated record. Lineage: Eukaryota; Viridiplantae; Streptophyta; Magnoliopsida; Poales; Poaceae.
UCUGCGUCCGUCCGUCGGUCCGCUUCGGCUCCUGCGACCGCAACUUCCCUCCACCUACCGCGACUUCCCCUGCAACCACGCCCCGCAAUCACCAAUGUCGCCGCAAUCUCUGCCUGCCCCCUGCACUCACGCGAGCACUUUCCCAUCUCGUUUUCACCCUGCGUCGCACCUAUGCCCCAGCCACAUCGCCGCGACACUGCGACCGCGCCCGCAUCCCGCCGCCGGUGGCCCACGUCCAGCUGCUGCACUCGGUGGCCUUCGCUUCGCCCCGAGGCACCACCGUCGUGCGCAACCGUGCCGGGCCAGCCGUCACACGACCUGUCGGCCCUCCUCCCUCACCCCUAUGGGCGGGUUCCACCCUCGAUCCGUCGACGGAGGUGCCCAUCCUGAAGGUCCAUGUCACCAUCCGCACCACCCCGACUCCCACAGCCUGUGCCUCUGAUGACGCCGAGUCCGACGGCCACAACCUCCGCCUCCGAUGAUACCGAUCCUGAUGCCCACGGCCAUGACCACUGUUGCACUCACACCAUCCCCGUCCACCUCCCUCAGCCUAGCAUCGGCCCCGCAUCCCUCGACGACCACAGGGUUCGGGUCUGACUCUGUGCGCCACUGGUGCCCUUCACACCCGCUGCGCCUAAGUGACACGAGGGCGAGUGUUAUGUGGCUCGACAUGCUCUGCACUGUUCGUCCUCUGCCUUCAUGUGUUCUGUGCUCACCAACUGUUUGUGAAAAUGCCUACAAAACAGUCAUGCGGGUACGGGGGAUGCAAGAAGUGACAACGAGCACCAUUGACUAUAUAUUCAGACCGCAUGACUAUUUCGUGGCUGUGCUUGUUUGAAAUAAAGCAUUCUUGCUUCUUGGGGCAAACAAAGUGAAGGAGUGUCAUUUUCCCUUGCAAGUUCACUGUGCGUGUUAAAGCUGCCCUGUCAUUCUGGUAUUUCAGAAGCGGGCACUACUGAUGUACAUUUCAUUUAGCUUUACUUGAUGUGCUUUGUGCUUACAUAGAGUAUUUGCUUUAAAUUUUUUUUAGAAUCUUUGCAGAAUUAAUUUCCUGGUUGUCUUGUUUUGGAGCUCUGAAUGUAGAUAAUUGGUGCACUCAUUGCCACACGGAUACCCAGUUAAGUAUAUUUCUUUCUUUAUUUUUCAUCAUAGCUUGAUGUCUCAAAUAGCAGGUAAUUAUACAUAUAUAUCCUUCCAAAGUUAGAUGUAUCAUACAUGGAAUAAUGUAAUAAGAAUAAGGGUUUUUUAGUUGACCAUGAAUUCGGUUUCGCAUUUUUUAUGGAAAUAUAAAUCUUCUAUAAAAAUGCAGACAUUUGGUUGCUUGGUCUAUUGUUUUAUCUACAACAAACUUAUUGAGCAUUGAUGCAAAAUGGUUAUGAACAAUGAUGUGAAUCAUGUGAUGCAGCACACCAUGCUAUGUUUUAAGUGAUCAGAGCUUCGUUUGUAUUUAUCUAUUUUUACAUGGAAUGACAUAUUUAAAUUGUCAAUAACAACCCUCUCAGGUUUAUUUCUAGCUGACUCUGAACAUUAGAGUAGAACAAGGUGCUUAUUCAAAAAAGUGUGAAUUGCAUGGAGAUGGGAAUGACUCCAGAACUAAUGUAUGGAAAAAUGUUUUUGUCCCGGCUACUGCAAAUCCCUACCAAUAUGGUUAUGCAGAAGUUGGAUCACCGAUGGAUUAGUAUAACCACCUGAGCUCUUUAGUGGAAUGUUUAUUAGGAUUGCUUUGGGCAGGGCACUCAUAGUUCAUUUUAAAACGCCUUUAUCAAGGAAUCUAAGUUUUGGAAGUUGAGGAUCUCAGGUUUGCUUUCUUGGUUGAAGCUUUAGAAGUCAGUUGGUGUCUUUCAGUGGCUGCAGAAACAUUGUUUACCCUCUUAGUCUUGUUUCAUUUCUUUUAGCGGGGUCUGUAGAGCUUCAUAGCUCUUUUAGUUUCUUGCUUGGUUUCAGCCACUGAACUACUUAGCUGGUGUCCCAGGCCUUUUUUUCACUUUUUUUGUUUUUUGUUUUUCUUUCCCUGUAUCGAACAUGAUGGGUAAUGUAUUUAUUUUAGGAACAUAUAGAUGUGAUGCUUGAUUAUAGGAAAGGCUUGCAGCUCCUUUAGAGAGCUAACCA